CCUUAGGUGGUCUGCCCACCGCUUUGGUGGCGCUGAAUGCAGGGGGCAUGCGCAGUACCCUGUUUUUGCUCCCGGGUCUUCAGAAGUGGCAGUUGGGUUUUGGGGGUCUUUUUGUAUCUUGUUGCCCAGAAUUCGCCCCAAGGGCACAUGCACGCAGUUAUUUUUACUCCCUUAUAGUUUCUUUGUAUUUUGUUGCUCAAGGAGACGUUUGUCCAGCUGCAAGCACUGCAGCGAGGGGGCCCAGGGCCCAGGGCCCAGCCUGUCUCGGUCCCAUAAAGGACUGUCCUGUAGGGUCGACGAUGCCCAGACUGGGUGAGCCGGUCCCCUGAUCACGUGCUUGGGGGUCAGGGCAAGGUCAAGUUGCUAUAGAAACAGUGGUUCCUGUACUUUUGGCUAAGGCAGAGUAGCAGGCACAAACCUUUAGGAUUAUGAGCAGAACUGAAAAUUAUAAAGCGAUGUAUAAAAAUCCUUUUAAUAAUGCUGAACCACGGGAGUCUGCUUUGUUACUUUACCAAGUGCGAUGACCAUAGUUUUCCUUUCCUUUUUAAUUUUUUCCUUUUCUUUCCAUUAUUCUCAAGGAUUGAGGCCACUGCCGUGGCCUCAGAGCCCUUCUGAGACCAGAGGUGUGGAUGGCGCAGGAAGCAGAAGGGAAUCUGUUCUGACCUGGGGCGGAGCCCCGUGCGUGCCUCACCGUAUCACUGAAUUCGUGCAGGGCCGAGGGCCGGGAGGGGGAGGCUCAUCCUCUCCAGCAGAAAACAAAGGGCGAAGCCCAAGCAGCAGGCGUUUUAGAAGCCCUCCAGGUGGUUCCCAUCUGCAGCCACGUUUGUAAACCACCGCACCUGGCCAGGGUGCAGUCCCUGGUCGAGUCUAGAAGCUGGAGAAGUACGAAACAGGCGCCGAGCUGUGGAGGAGGAGACGAGAAACCCGGCUGGAGGCGGACGGGGAGACAAAGGUCACACGCCUCCCUCAGCUAUUUUUCUUCUGAAAUCCAACUGAUUUCCUCAAAAUCCAGUUUACCUGGAAUAAGCAAUUUGGUUAAUAAGCAAACAAUCUGAACCUUGAGAAGCCAGUCCCUUCGAAGGCCUGGUAAUCACUGGAGAGGAGAGAAGUAACUCCCUGAGAAAAGCCAACGAUUCGAACGGAACUUUCAUGUUAUUGCUCUGACAAAUGAAGAGAGCUGGAAUUGAUAUCUUCUUGCUUAAAAGCACAUCUCCCUCUUGACUGAAAGGCUGUUUGCUAAGGAGAGAGUUGAAGACAGCAGUUUGAUGGACUGAAGAAGAAGGAAUGACAAGCGAGAUUCAAAUAUACCCAGGAGUUUUAUCACUUCUUCUCGACUGAGACUAGAAGAAUCAGCAGCUGGAGGGG
Physeter macrocephalus (sperm whale) is the source of this 1365-nucleotide long non-coding RNA. RefSeq lists it as uncharacterized. Lineage: Eukaryota; Metazoa; Chordata; Mammalia; Artiodactyla; Physeteridae. The transcript has 5 exons. The record is from RefSeq and is a predicted model, not a curated record.